Molecule: transfer RNA, 91 nt
Filed under: Nitrosococcus halophilus Nc 4
Lineage: Bacteria; Pseudomonadati; Pseudomonadota; Gammaproteobacteria; Chromatiales; Chromatiaceae
Description: tRNA-Ser (GGA) (tRNA-Ser-GGA-1-1)
Rfam family: tRNA
About the family: Transfer RNA (tRNA) molecules are approximately 80 nucleotides in length. Their secondary structure includes four short double-helical elements and three loops (D, anti-codon, and T loops).
Source: RNAcentral
GGAGAGGUGGCCGAGCGGUUGAAGGCGCACGCCUGGAAAGUGUGUAUACGCUAACCGCGUAUCGAGGGUUCGAAUCCCUCCCUCUCCGCCA